UACGGAGGGGGCUAGCGUUGUUCGGAAUUACUGGGCGUAAAGCGCACGUAGGCGGCUUUGUAAGUUAGAGGUGAAAGCCCGGGGCUCAACUCCGGAAUUGCCUUUAAGACUGCAUCGCUAGAAUUGUGGAGAGGUAAGUGGAAUUCCGAGUGUAGAGGUGAAAUUCGUAGAUAUGCGGAAGAACACCAGUGGCGAAGGCGACUUACUGGACACAUAUUGACGCUGAGGUGCGAAAGCGUGGGGAGCAAACAGG
Molecule: ribosomal RNA, 253 nt
Filed under: uncultured bacterium
Lineage: Bacteria
Description: partial 16S ribosomal RNA
Rfam family: Bacterial small subunit ribosomal RNA
Source: RNAcentral